Molecule: unclassified non-coding RNA, 354 nt
Filed under: soil metagenome
Description: partial contains 5.8S ribosomal RNA, internal transcribed spacer 2, and large subunit ribosomal RNA
Rfam family: 5.8S ribosomal RNA (bases 1-120)
Source: RNAcentral
GAUGAAGAACGUAGCGAAACGCGAUAUGUAAUGUGAAUUGCAGAAUUCAGUGAAUCAUCGAAUCUUUGAACGCACAUGGCGCCUUCCAGUAUCCUGGGAGGCAUGCCUGUCCGAGCGUCGUUUCAACCCUCGAGCCCCCGUGGCCCGGCGUUGGGGAUCUGCCCAGGCAGUCCCCGGAAACCAGUGGCGGACCCGUUACAGGCCCUUCCCUUGCGUAGUAGCAUUCGCCUCGCAUCGGGAGCCGGCGGGCUUCCAGCCUCUAAACCCCCAUCAAGUCCGCCCCGGCGGCACCAAGGUUGACCUCGGAUCAGGUAGGAAUACCCGCUGAACUUAAGCAUAUCAAUAAGCGGAGGA